AUACCUUAAAUAAUACUCCCCAAAAGUACUAACUUGGGAAAGUAUGCAGAAAUAGAGAAACUUACAGGGGUGCUGAGGCUGUUGGGAGGAAUAAUAGAAAGGCAGCCAAACAUGAGGGCUGCUUGACAUUGGAGCAGAUGAUGUGUUUCUUUCCUCUGAAAGCAACUGUGUGAGCACUUAAUGCUCUGAGCUUCUGCAUCUAUCUUCAGAGCAUGAAGGGAAGGGCAAGGGAACUGCAGACGGUGACCGUGACUCUGACCUCACUGACCUUCUGCAUUGAUGCCAACAAUCGUCAAUCCACAGAACAAUUCUUAUGUGAGAAGCAUAACUCUUCCUGAAUUUGAGAAAUAUUAUUGCCACCUUUGAAAUCGGUGUACACAGAUCAUGGUAAGUCUCAUUCUCUUGUUUUAUUAGUCAGAGUUCCUCAUUAAUUUAGAAAAUUGUUUGUUCAGUAAAGACCUAUCUCAUUUGAUAAUGGUCUCUGAAUCCCCUGGAUUAUGGCAGGGAUUUUACUUUGUAAUAAUCUCCCAUGAGAACUGUCUAAACAACUGUGAAGGCAAGAGAGAGCUGCGAGGGGCCAUCAUAAUCUUUAAAGCAUAGCAACAACGGACUGAAGCUGACCAUAAUGAAUCUUUUCUGCUUUUCGCUGGGUCUCAUUGGAGAGUCCACAUCAGAAAGAAGAGAAAGGAUGUUUUCAUUAAAGCACUUAAGCCAACUCUAU
Long non-coding RNA from Diceros bicornis minor, 721 nucleotides. RefSeq lists it as uncharacterized. NCBI's taxonomy places the organism in Eukaryota, Metazoa, Chordata, Mammalia, Perissodactyla, Rhinocerotidae. The transcript has 3 exons. The record is from RefSeq and is a predicted model, not a curated record.